ACUCUAUUCCUCUAACGGCCGUUUUCAAUAACGUAUCUGAGUUUUCGGAUAGAUAGCUAUCUCCGAAUAUCAGCAAGAGCGUAUCUGUCCUUAGUUUGCGUUUCACAAUCACGGAUAAGUGCUAUCUCUCUUUAACCAACAGUAGAUAGCUUCUUCCCUCCGAUUUAUCCGAGCCUCUUGAUACGUUUCGUUCUACUACAAAUACGAAACAACAUCAGGAUCAAGACUUAUUUUAUUUUAUUCUAAAUUAUAACUAUAAUUUAACCAGCAUAUUGUAGACUAUCAUAAACACAUUUGUUUAUAACAAAAAGUAAUAAAAACAUAUGUAGAUUUUUUUAAAUUGGACGUAUUGCUAUUUUUAUCCUAGUCGAAAUUAUGAAACGAAACGUUUUGACAGUCCGUUUGCCAAUAUGCAGUGAUCAGUUUCUUUUGUUUGUUUUUCUAUUGUUUAUCUACUAUAUUAGAUGAUGACUUACCUCCAAAACGCUUUAAAACUUUCGUUUAUAAUUCUAAGUGUGUUUAUAAUUAAAGAGCUACAGUGAAAUAAAAUGAAUUCUUCAAGAAAGGCAGCACCCAUGACAAAAGAUGAGACGAUGAUUCUAGCAGAACUUGUGGCGGCGAAAAAACAUUUCAAUAAUAAGGCAACAAAUGCCAGAAACAAUAAAUUGAAGGAACAGGCUUGGCAAACCCUUGUAAAUGAUUUUAAUUCGUCGAUUCGUCGUUUCCCACGAACUCCAUCGCAGCUUCGACUAAAAUGGGAAAAUUUAAAGAACGCUACGGCAACAUAAGAAACAACCUUAGUAAGGCUGGAGGUGGUAAGGAUUGCAGAUGAAAUUUUGGAUAAAGCAUGCACAUUGUUGUAGGUCACAUAUAAUAUUUUUAACACUUUUACAGCCAAGCGGAAACAAGAUGGAAGAAAAGAAAUGCAAGGCUAGCAUAGGGACAAUGCAUUAGCAGAAUAUCUAAUAGCAAAAAAGAGACUUGACUUGGAAAAUAAAGAAAAGGAGAUUGUUGUAGCAAAAGUUAAGUUAGAUUUAGAUAAUUUAAAAAAUUAAAAAUUACUUAAAAGGAAUAUUAAAUUUCAUAAAUUAAGUAGGCAAUAAUAAUUUUAUGUUAGAUAGUUUUUUAAGUAUAUGUACAAAUUCUAAAUUAAAUAUCUUGCAUGUACUAACUACCAUGUAAUUAUCAUUUUGGAAAAUAAAAAAUAGUCAAAUUA
Molecule: long non-coding RNA, 1216 nt
Organism: Bombyx mori (domestic silkworm)
Lineage: Eukaryota; Metazoa; Arthropoda; Insecta; Lepidoptera; Bombycidae
Exons: 3
Source: RefSeq, a predicted model, not a curated record